AACGCACAUUGCGCCUCUUGGUAUUCCAGGAGGCACGCCUGUUCGAGCGCCAUUACAAACUCCAAGCUUGGCUUGAUGAUGGAGGAUGUGAGAGAUUCACACCUCUAGAACGUGUUGGCGCCGCCGGCGAACCACGAGCGUAGCAAGACGAAAGUCAUCGCAUCGUUGGAAUCGUCGGACGGUCUGCCUUGUCAUUACGACGAUCUAGUGAUGACUACAACUUACCAAAGUUUGGCCUCGGAUCAGGCGGGGAUACCCGCUGAACUUAA
RNAcentral lists this unclassified non-coding RNA (269 nucleotides) under uncultured fungus. RNAcentral describes it as "partial contains 5.8S ribosomal RNA, internal transcribed spacer 2, and large subunit ribosomal RNA". Lineage: Eukaryota; Fungi. The record is from RNAcentral.